CAUAACACAGGCUGUCCUGAAACUUACUGAGUAGCCACAGUUGGCCUCAGAUUCACAGUGAUUGUCCUGCUUCAGCUUCUCAGCUCGUGGGAUCACAGGGAAGACCCAGUGACCACCCUCCUCGGGCACCUGUAGCUGGCUCGAAGUGGAUUUCUUGGUCAUGAGGUGACAUCUGUGCCUAGUGGAAUAAGUCUACAUAAGGAAUAAGUACUCCAGUCUCUUUGGCAGCAAGGGAGGCUGCCUGACUCAACGCUGAUGGAUGAGGUGUGAAAAGCAUUGUGUGGCCGAUACAGGAAAUGUCCUUCUUCUCCUCUUUCUUCUGGCUGUUUGGAAUGUAGACACAAUGGCUGGACUUGAGCAGCCAUCUUGGACGCAGCUGCCACCGUGAACAGGUGUAGAGAAGGGUCCGAACUUCUGGGUCCGACUCCAAUCGCAACAUAAAGGUGGGAUCACAGCGACGGACAGUCGUAGAAUUCGUCCUUCGAAUUGCCUGGAUCCAGUCUCACACCCUUAGGGAAGGUGGCCCUCCCGAACGACUCCACACACUCAACAUGCGUGUGGAAGAAGAGGACGGCAGACACAGCUGUCUCAGGAAACAACGAGUGUGGGAGACGAGAAAAGGAGCGUGGGCAGUCUAAAUUCCACGGGGACAAAGGGGUUUUAAAUAUCUACCAGGCUCAAGAUUAUACUUAAUCUUAUUAAGUUAGAAGAUUGA
Molecule: non-coding RNA, 715 nt
Organism: Myodes glareolus (Bank vole)
Lineage: Eukaryota; Metazoa; Chordata; Mammalia; Rodentia; Cricetidae
Source: RefSeq, a predicted model, not a curated record